This 1992-nucleotide long non-coding RNA is filed under the name Olea europaea (common olive). RNAcentral describes it as "long non-coding RNA (OEUR_LNC014986)". Lineage: Eukaryota; Viridiplantae; Streptophyta; Magnoliopsida; Lamiales; Oleaceae. The record is from RNAcentral.
ACGGGUAUUUACAAAUACUAAGCAGAGUUGUUUUAUUUCAUACUUGAAUACAUGGAUUUUAACAUGUUUGUAUGUACAAUAAACAAAAGCCAGUAUGGUAAAUGGAAUUGUGGGAAAGCCGCUCCGAAUGAGAGAAGGAUUAUUGAAAGCAAUCGCCCUCUCUCUUUUUUUUAGAAUGAGAAGUUGCACGUGGAUAGGCCUGAAGGGAGCCACUCUAAAAUACUGUUAGACAUCGAACACAAAGUUCUUUACUUCAUGUACGAAGGCUCCCGAUCCUCUUAUGAAUUCAAUCCCUUCGCCUUUCUAAACCAGCAUGUGAAUGGUCUCCAGGCACAUGGUGCGAACAUUCAACUUGUUUUUGAGGGGUCGGGUGGUGGAGGGCGGAGACAUGGGUUUGAUUUUGGGCUACCUUCGAAUCUUGUUGACUAUUUUGUUGGGCCGGGGUUGGAGUAAUUGAUUCAGCAACUUAUCGAGAACAAUCCCAAUGGGUAUUGAACCCUACCUACAUCUUAAGUCUGCGAUGGAUGGGUUACCAAAUAUAAAGAUCACGGAUAUUGGCCACAGAUUCACGCUAGUGUGCCGUGUACAAAGACAGAUAUGAGUUAACCGAGGAAGCAAAGCAAAUGCCUUGUAAACAUAUCUACCAUAAUGAUUGUACAUUACCUUGGCUUGAGUUGCAUCAUUCUUGUCUAGUUUGUAGAUAUGAGUAACACAUUGACAACCCAGAUUAUGAAAAUCGAAGAAUUGGGCAAGUGAGCUAUAAUAGCAGGAAUAGUAACAACAAUAAUUUAGGCAUGGCCUCAGGUGGUAGAGGUCAGAAGACGGGCACUAAUGAUAAUAAAUUACUAAGAACAUUGUAACGGAGAUUUAGGAUUUCACUGCCAUGGAUUUUCAGAGGUCUUGAUUCCCCAGCAGAGACGAGUAGUAGUCGAGGUAGAGCUGGCAGUAACCAAGGAGUGAAGGCCGACAACAAUGAGAAUAGUGGGGCAUCACAUGCAGGCUCUGGAGGAGGACCGGCUAGAGAUUGAGGACCUGGACUAAAGUGUGUCGAUUAGCUUCAAAUUACACAUUGAGAAAAAAUAUCAACACGAGUCGAGUUUAGGUCUUCAACCUAAAUCACGAGGGUUCAAAGUACAUAGUUUCACAAAAAAGCAUUUAUAAAUACACAAAACCAUAUACAAAUUGUUGAACCACAAGCAUGAUAUCAAGAGAGAACUGUUUUCAAAAUUUGUCAAUACUCAUUUAUGAAAAUUACGUAUGCAUCGGAAAUGUUUCAAUGAAAAUAUAAAUCUUUCUUAAACCCAGUUAAUAAGUUUCCACGAUCAGCCCAAAAUUCACAAUUUUAAGCACAUAUUUAUACAAAAAAGUAGCAGGGAACAAAACUUGAUUCAAUGUACAAACACAUAUAGACUGUAAUAAGCACAUACGAAAAGAAGGGAAAAAGGUAAUCGGGUUCUAUUCAAUUUCUUCAUUUUUCACUCAUCUUGCCACAAAUAGCCCGAAGGUUUCACUGCAAAAUUCCCACAAUUUGUACUCGUUUCUCCAAAGAUUUUCAAUAUGAAAAGCAAAUCUAGAAUAAAGUUUCCAGAUCUAGAAAAAAAAAAACAGAAGAGGGCAAAUGCAACACAACUUACAGGAUUUAUUACAAUCUUCAGACAUUCCCAAAACUGUAAGCCACAGUGAAACAAUCGCUACAAUUUGAAGCUCAGGCGGAAUGAAUUAUAGACACAGAUUUGAAGUUUAGCCGGAAAAGAGAACAAAUUUUCCACAAUUUAUACUCAAUUCUCCAUAGAUAUUAAGAACUGUUUCCACAUCUAGAAAGAAACAGAAAAAAGGGAAGCCACCAAAUGAAUAGGAACACUUAUCUCUUGGAUGAAAAAAAAUUGUAUGAAAAGCCACUCACUUCCAAGCGGCUUAGCUAACCCAGUUCCAUCCAAAAUGACUAAGCCGACCAACAAAAGGCUUGUGAACAGUAAUCACAAACUGCCUCUU